GCCAGCAGCCGCGGUAAUACGGAGGGUGCAAGCGUUGUUCGGAUUUAUUGGGCGUAAAGCGCGUGUAGGCGGUUUCUUAAGUCUGAUGUGAAAGCCCUGGGCUCAACCCAGGAAGUGCAUUGGAUACCGGGAGACUUGAAUACGGGAGAGGGUAGUGGAAUUCCUAGUGUAGGAGUGAAAUCCGUAGAUAUUAGGAGGAACACCGGUGGCGAAGGCGGCUACCUGGACCGAUAUUGACGCUGAGACGCGAAAGCGUGGGGAGCAAACAGGAUUAGAUACCCUGGUAGUCCACGCCGUAAACGAUGAGAACUAGGUGUCGCGGGUA
This 325-nucleotide ribosomal RNA is filed under the name uncultured Geobacter sp. Its description in RNAcentral is "bacterial SSU rRNA". It matches the Rfam family "Bacterial small subunit ribosomal RNA", at positions 507 to 831 of the family's 1533-position model. The record is from RNAcentral. Lineage: Bacteria; Pseudomonadati; Thermodesulfobacteriota; Desulfuromonadia; Geobacterales; Geobacteraceae.